GACGAACGCUGGCGGCGUGCUUAACACAUGCAAGUCGAACGAAAAGGCCCUGCUUUCAGUGUACUCGAGUGGCGAACGGGCGGGUAACACGUGGGUGAUCAGCCCUGCACUUCGGGAUAAGCCUGGGAAACUGGCUCUAAUUCCUGCCAGAUACCAUUUUUAGCGUCAUGGUUGAAAAGUUUUGUCGGUGUUGGCUGAGCUCGAUGCCUAACGGCUUGCUGGUGGGGUAAUGGCCUACCAAAGCGGCUACGGGUAGCAGGCCUGCGAGAGUGGCCGGCCACACUGGGACUGAGGGACGGCCGAGACAGCGACGCGUGGGAGAUGGGCGGAAGAUUGAACAAGCAGCGCAGGCCGAGUGCAGCGGCGCCGCGGGGCGGAAAACGGUCUUCGGAGUGUAAAACCCUUGCGCAAGGGACGAAGCUUUUUGUGACGGUACCUAGACAAGAAGCACCGGCUAACUACGUG
This 465-nucleotide ribosomal RNA is filed under the name uncultured bacterium. RNAcentral describes it as "partial 16S ribosomal RNA". It matches the Rfam family "Bacterial small subunit ribosomal RNA", at positions 28 to 507 of the family's 1533-position model. The record is from RNAcentral.